AUUGCGUCUCGGCCUUUUGGCUAAGAUCAAGGGUAACAUCUGUCCUGAUCAGUUUGACAUCUGAUACGUCCUCUAAUGACAACAGAUUAAUGGGGUUUGGAGCAGGGAGAUGGAAUAGGAGCUUGCUGCAUCCACGCCGCACAUCCACUCGGUAUGGCAGUACCUCUGGGAAUGGCACACCCCCU
This is a small nuclear RNA of Myotis lucifugus (little brown bat), 185 nucleotides long. Its record names the gene U2. It matches the Rfam family "U2 spliceosomal RNA". From Rfam's summary of the family: U2 is a small nuclear RNA (snRNA) component of the spliceosome (involved in pre-mRNA splicing). Complementary binding between U2 snRNA (in an area lying towards the 5' end but 3' to hairpin I) and the branchpoint sequence (BPS) of the intron results the bulging out of an unpaired adenosine, on the BPS, which initiates a nucleophilic attack at the intronic 5' splice site, thus starting the first of two transesterification reactions that mediate splicing. NCBI's taxonomy places the organism in Eukaryota, Metazoa, Chordata, Mammalia, Chiroptera, Vespertilionidae. The record is from Ensembl.